UCCCGACGGUGCUUGCUCCUCUCGUUCCUGACGCCGCACCCUCCUCUCGAAGCCGCUCUCCUCCUCCAAUGGCGUUCACUCCUCCCGACGCCGCUCCCCUCCUCCCCACGCCGCUCCGCGACACCGUCAUCCCAUCGCCGUUGCCCUCAGGAGAUUCUCCUCUGACCCACAGAGCUCUUUCUGGGUGCGGCGCCAUGGCUCCACCUUGGCCAUCGUUGUCCCCUCCACAAGUGGUUCUUGUGGCAUCCACAGCUCCGCUAGUUCUCGUGUGCUGAUCCGUCUCCCCUCGCGCAUGGCGGUAUGGCGGUGCUUCAUCAGCCAAACCCAUGGCUGGAUCUCAAGUGUAUUGCAGGAGGGCAGCAGAUCGGAGCGGAGAGUCCUUGCCUUCAAUCGCCAUCAGGAAAGGUCCAAAUCUCUCGCGGAUGCGACCACCUUCCAGUCUCAACGGCGACCUCGAAUCUGUUCCCCUGUGUCGGCUGGCGGCAUCCAUCCACCUAGGGCGUCAUUGCUGAGUUGCAGUGGCCGUAUUUCGUACUGGUGGCCCCGUCAAUCACCAUCCCCGAAGAGGAGGCAGGAUCCUACGGUAGUACGGUAAGCUGCCGCAAAUAGCUGCAUCCAGCCAUAAACCUUUGAGGUUCAUGAUUCCCCUAUAGGUGCUAUGGAAAAAUAUUUUGUCUGUUCAGAUCACUAUGCCUUCAGUGUCCUUUCACUCUUGCAAAUGCAUUAUAAUUUAAUACUUGUGUUUUUCUAGCUACAUAAAAAUCACAGUUCUCUUACGGUAAAUUUGUCCAAAAAAUCACUCAGGCUUUGUAGAUCCUUGAAGUAGUCUGGUUUUUCAGAUGUAGAAUGAAGGCUUUGUGGAACAGAUAACCUUCAUGCACUAGGUCGCACAGAUUUUAGUGUGCUGUGAAGCCCUCAACCUCUACUGGCUCUGACCUCAACACAGGUGCUGAUCCCAAGGACAUCUUUCUAGCAAAACUUUCAGACAGUCUUGUAAGUUCCUGCCUGCUAAUUCAUUUUGGCACCAUAGUCAUCAAUCUGUCUUCAGUUCCCAUUCAUUUUGUCUUGGCUCUUGUGUUAGAUAUGUUCUGCAAACUACUCUUUUCAUGGAAUUAAUAUUUUUUUAUAAAUUAGCAUUUUAAGUUUUGCAGUAAAGGGUGGAUCAGAUUGUCAAUUCUAUUAUUUGCUAAAUGAACUAGCCUUUGGUUAGUUUCCUGAAAUCAUUUCAUUAUCUCUUUUAAACUGUGUAUAUUGACCUUUAGGCUUAGGUUUGUGUUGGAUCUGUGCAACGAAUAAUUCAUGAUUAGCUAUAUUAAUUGAUGGCGUAAUGUCUUAAAAAAUUGAUGACUUUGUGGUAAAACAUGCAUUUGAAAUAUGUUGGAUUGGCGAAAUCAGUAGAGACUAGAGAGUUGUUUGGGAUUCUGAACCUGAAGCUUUAGAAGAAAAGGUGUUCAUUUCCUCAUUCUACAUCAAGCACUAACAGCAGCAGGAGCAUAUUCCUUAUUCUGUGCAUUUUUUUGACUCUUCACACUUAAAAUUUGGUGCCUUAUUCUCCUGCAUCUCUUGCCUAUAAAAUAUGAGAUUUGAUCUAAACUAUGUCAUCAUCCUGCAUUUCUAGAUGCUGGCUAAUAGUUAACUUGGCUACCAUGGAGAGUUACUAUCUAAGCUAAAUCAUCUCAUUUUUAUAAAAACAAAUUAGUUAUCUUCAGUUUGCACAUUAGCAAAGAAGAUGGUGUUCGGUGCAUGUGUCAUUGUAGAAGCUAGCAUUUUUUUAAUGGUUGCACUCACGCCAUUUUUCUAUAUUUCUUUUCUCUCUCUAUCCUGUGUUUGGAUAACAAUUUGAGUCUUUGACCUUUUUCAGUCUUAAGGAUG
Molecule: RNA transcript, 1872 nt
Organism: Panicum virgatum (switchgrass)
Lineage: Eukaryota; Viridiplantae; Streptophyta; Magnoliopsida; Poales; Poaceae
Exons: 3
Source: RefSeq, a predicted model, not a curated record